Molecule: long non-coding RNA, 2421 nt
Organism: Lepus europaeus (European hare)
Lineage: Eukaryota; Metazoa; Chordata; Mammalia; Lagomorpha; Leporidae
Exons: 8
Source: RefSeq, a predicted model, not a curated record
GUGCUUGAUUGUCUCACCCAGCUAGAAGACCAACUGUAAUGGGUAUUGUGUGAAGUUGCACUGAAUUUGGAGUACAAGGAGAAUAAGUUUAGCCCAUGCAAAGGAAGCCAUCAUAGCUCAUGGCACUGCCUGCCUCUGUGACGGUGGCUGCGCUUCUGUGGGAGAGUGUGCUUCAAAGCACCGUGACAGGAUUCUGGUCCUCCAAACACUUUGACUUCAAGUUGAGAAGAGGGCUUCUACACCCAGGUAAAGCGUUCUGCUCACCUACCCGCAUUCUCUUUUCUCCACAUUCCCUACCUGGAUCAUCAUCUUCUCCCUCUGAAGAACUCCAAGAGGUCUUGUAAGGUCAUUUCCAAUAACACAACUACCAUACCAUAUUUACUGAUAAGAACAGUAAAGAGACAAGAGAAACACGAGAUUUGCUCUUCACUUGUGUUGACUUCAGCCAAGAGUCUUAGUUUCAUGACCAUAGCUUGCUUCAGAACUAUUGAACUCUGAAAGCGUGAUGAUCCUCAAACCCGGAAGGAAAUUGGAGACGAGUAAGCCAGACAAGAGUCAGAGAUGGUGAUGGUGCUGGGAUGGAAGAACAAUUAGGAGCCUGCUCAUUAGUGUUUUGUGCAUGCUGAAAUACCUAUGCUGAUUUGCCUGGGAUCGAGUCCCAGUUCCACUUACGAUUCCAGCUCCCUGCUACUGUGCAUUCUGGAAAGCAGCAGAUGAUGGCUCAAGUUCUGGGAUUCCUGCCACCCAACUCUGGCUGCUGGUCAAAGAAGCUGAGUUAACUGGCAUAUGCCAGACUGGGAAGGCAAUGACCAAACGUGAAAGCCGAGAUGAGAUGUGAGAAGCUAUACAAGAAUGGAAAAUAAUUCCCCAGAACCAGUUCCUAGGCUUUACAGGUACUCUUCCAAACUGUGACACUGAGGAUACACAAAACUGCCUUUAAAAGUCAGUGGGUCAUCUAGUGAAUAAGAAAGCUGAAACUAAAUUUCCAUGAAGUGAAAGUUACAUGUUCUUAGUCUUUGAUAAGGACUAAAAUCUAAAAGGUUAUUGGUAUCAAGCUUAUUUGUAAGGUUGCACUUGAAAACAUUGUCAUGCAGAUUGUAUCUCCAAAACCCUGCAUCUAUUUGACAAGAACUGAAAUAUCUGAAUAAGUUGCUUCAGGAAGGAAAGAUCUCAAGUGAGAAUUCUUGCAUCCCACAAGUGAAUAAUAUCAGAAAAAUCCCUCAGCCUUAGUGGGUUAUGAUACAAACUACUCUCCCACUGAGAGGCUGUCUCCAUCUGCUCUUCGUGAAAAGCAUCUGUUUUACCUGUACCAUCAAAUACAGACUGAAUGCAGAUGGUCAGGUCUCCACAAUGGCUUCUGAAUCUCCAGCAGUCAUGCUGACCUCCAAUUCAAAGGUUUAAUGUUAGCAGGGCAUUUGGUGACAAUCUGAAAAAAAAACAAACAAAUAUUUUGGAUCAGAUUGUGUUGGCUUUUUUUUUUUUUUUUGGCUUGUCAAAAUAUAGCAAAAGCACUUAUUGACCAUCUGCUUCUUUGCUUUCUAUUGAGGAAAAAAUUAUGCAUCAGUUGUAAUAUGAAUUUUAAAAACUCAUGGUCAUUAUAACAUGCAUUUUUUGUCUUUCUUUGGUUUCAACCAAUUUUAAUUUAUAGAAUACAAAUCUCUUCAGAAUGAUACAUUCCUUAAUUUAAUCAAUGAUACAAGGCCUAAAUAUUUCUUGUAUUUAAACAGAAAUACAGGUUAAAAGUAUAUGAACACAGAACGCAAAAUGUUUUUACUUAAGCAGCUACAUAAAUGAGGCUGUUCAAGUUUCUUCACAACCAUGUUGUAACUACUGAACAAAUUAUGCUUAACAAUAGUAAAGAUGUAAAAACUUCACAUUUAAACACGAAAAUAUGCAACAACAACAAAAGAAGUAUCUUCAUUACCAAAGAGCUUAAUUAAUUCAUCCUCAGACACUGAGGCAUAGCAAAACACCUACAUCAAAGGUUGCAUUCAUUUGAAAGGUAUCAAUAUACUAUGUUAGCUAUAAUGUUAAAUUGGUAAAUUGUAGCAUAAUUAAAUCUGUUUCUCAAAUGUGAACUUUAGUAGUCUAGUGCUGCUUUUUAUAUGCUCUAAGUACUACAAAUAGUCUCAAAGCUGAACACGUAUUGAUACAAUAAGCAUGUUUGAUAAUUCAUGAAGCAUGUAACAAACUACUCUUCAUAGUGAAGGUUGUAUAACUGUUAGCAUUAUUUUUUUGAUAACCAUAAAAUACAUUCUUGUAGGAUUAGUUUUCAAAAAACUUUCCUAAGAGAAAUGGGGAAUAAUUUUCCCUGAGUUGGAUGGUAAUUCGUUCACUUGUAAAAUAUGGCAUAACCAAGAAUAACAAUCUCCAAGGGACUGACUGACUUAUUGUACUGUUGUGUCUUUUAAUAAAUACUGA